This is a long non-coding RNA of Aricia agestis (brown argus), 291 nucleotides long. RefSeq lists it as uncharacterized. NCBI's taxonomy places the organism in Eukaryota, Metazoa, Arthropoda, Insecta, Lepidoptera, Lycaenidae. The record is from RefSeq and is a predicted model, not a curated record. The transcript has 2 exons.
AGUUUUUCGAGCGCUCGGCAAAAAGCCUAAAUUAAUAAAAGUGCAACGUCGCACUCUAAUGGCGAAUAUAGCCCUGGAAUAUUUCAUGGUGCGCUCGUGGCAUUUCGUAAAUGAUAAUUUCAUGAGCCUGCGCUCGAUGCUCAAGCCGCACGAUCGGAAACAAUUCUUCUUCUCGUCAAAGGGAGUCCAGUCGCUGGAAAAUAUGGUGAACAUCGGUCUGAGAAUCAGAAAAGAUCUUCUGCAUCAAGACGAAAAAACAUUGCCCAAAUGGAAGAAAAUUUAUGAAUGGUA